GUCCCUAUCCGUCGUGGGCGUAGGAAAUUUGAGAGGAGCUGUCCUUAGUACGAGAGGACCGGGAUGGACAUACCUCUGGUGUACCAGUUGUCGUGCCAACGGCAUAGCUGGGUAGCUAUGUAUGGACGGGAUAAGUGCUGAAAGCAUCUAAGCAUGAAGCCCCCCUCAAGAUGAGAUUUCCCAACUUCGGUUAUAAGAUCCCUCGAAGAUGACGAGGUUAAUAGGUUCGAGGUGGAAGCGUGGUGACACGUGGAGCUGACGAAUACUAAUCGAUCGAAGACUUAAUCAA
RNAcentral lists this ribosomal RNA (289 nucleotides) under Staphylococcus epidermidis NIH05005. Its description in RNAcentral is "partial 23S ribosomal RNA". It matches the Rfam family "Bacterial large subunit ribosomal RNA", at positions 2634 to 2925 of the family's 2925-position model. Lineage: Bacteria; Bacillati; Bacillota; Bacilli; Caryophanales; Staphylococcaceae. The record is from RNAcentral.